This is a long non-coding RNA of Priapulus caudatus, 534 nucleotides long. RefSeq lists it as uncharacterized. The record is from RefSeq and is a predicted model, not a curated record. The transcript is spliced from 4 exons. Lineage: Eukaryota; Metazoa; Priapulida; Priapulimorpha; Priapulimorphida; Priapulidae.
AACUACGUCAUUUUGGCGCAUGCGCAGAUUCUGGUUGGCAGAAAGCAUUGCUUCUAAGCCGUGUUUAUGCGGUGGCAGAGCCAUAACAUAAACGUAAUGAGCCAUAAACAGGAAUAUAUACCAGUGCCACGAUGAAAAACUUCAAAUCGUUUCAAGCUUAUCAUGUAGAUCAGUGGACAUAUGUACCACGUCAUCAGGAGUCUAUCAAUAGUCUACAUGAGUCUAUCUAUGGUCUAUUGAUAGACUCCUGACGUCAUCACAGAAAAGGUGAAAUUACGCCAUCUCAACGAUUGCGAGACAAACCUCACCAACACUGGUGUACAUGACAUGUGUGUAUAGUCAACUGGGGUUGUGUAUUGUGCCCGCUGCAUGUGCAUGGCAGUACUUGGCAAAACAUGCAGCCACGUAGCAGCCCUGCUAUUCAAAGUCGACGUCAUCAACUAGUUGGGCAUGUGAAUGGAAUAAAUUAUUUCGCAAAGAAUUACAGCCAGUUACCAUCCCAGAUUCACAGGACACUUUAAAAGGUGCCAGAAA